RNAcentral lists this long non-coding RNA (226 nucleotides) under Setaria italica (foxtail millet). RNAcentral's name for it is "long non-coding RNA (SITA_LNC006862)". Lineage: Eukaryota; Viridiplantae; Streptophyta; Magnoliopsida; Poales; Poaceae. The record is from RNAcentral.
UGGGAUUCGGUCUCCAACCCUUCAAGACUAAACCAAGCAACUAGGGAUAUAAUGAACUAUUGUGUGAUUAAUAUGGAUAUGAAGAAUAGCACGCAACACGGCCAAACAACCAACUCGGACUUGAGCUGCUCAUCGAUUGGAACUCGGCCUUUAACAAGAUCAGGACUCGGUCUCGACCAACCCUAGCACAAUGACGCGCAUAGUUAGCCGAGUCCAUGUUGGACUU